UACGUAGGGUGCAAGCGUUGUCCGGAAUUAUUGGGCGUAAAGAGCUCGUAGGCGGUUCGUCGCGUCGGCUGUGAAAACCCGGGGCUCAACCCCGGGCCUGCAGCCGAUACGGGCAGACUAGAGUUCGGCAGGGGAGACUGGAAUUCCUGGUGUAGCGGUGAAAUGCGCAGAUAUCAGGAGGAACACCGGUGGCGAAGGCGGGACUCUGGGCCGAUACUGACGCUGGAGGAGCGAAAGCGUGGGGAGCGAACAGG
Molecule: ribosomal RNA, 254 nt
Filed under: uncultured bacterium
Lineage: Bacteria
Description: partial 16S ribosomal RNA
Rfam family: Bacterial small subunit ribosomal RNA
Source: RNAcentral